This 416-nucleotide ribosomal RNA is filed under the name uncultured bacterium. Its description in RNAcentral is "bacterial SSU rRNA". It matches the Rfam family "Bacterial small subunit ribosomal RNA", at positions 33 to 433 of the family's 1533-position model. The record is from RNAcentral.
UCACGCUGGCGGCGUGCCUAACACAUGCAAGUCGAACGCGAAAGUGGAGCAAUCCAUGAGUAGAGUGGCAAACGGGUGAGUAACACGUGGGUGACCUGCCUUCGAGCGGGGGAUAACGUCCCGAAAGGGACGCUAAUACCGCAUAACAUCCUGCCUUUUAAGAGGUGGAGAUCAAAGCCGGGGAUUCGCAAGAACCUGGCACUUGAAGAGGGGCCCGCGUCUGAUUAGCUAGUUGGUGGGGUAAUGGCCUACCAAGGCAACGAUCAGUAUCCGGCCUGAGAGGGCGGACGGACACACUGGGACUGAGACACGGCCCAGACUCCUACGGGAGGCAGCAGUGGGGAAUUGUUCGCAUUGGGCGCAAGCCUGACGACGCAACGCCGCGUGGAGGAUGAAGACCUUCGGAUCGUAUCUCC